AGCCCCGAGGUGUAAUGCAUGUCAGAUUGCAAAUCUGAAGGAGUAGACUAGUCGUCUACCGGGGCUU
This 67-nucleotide transfer RNA is filed under the name Echiichthys vipera (lesser weever). Its description in RNAcentral is "tRNA-Cys". The record is from RNAcentral. Lineage: Eukaryota; Metazoa; Chordata; Actinopteri; Perciformes; Trachinidae.